RNAcentral lists this ribosomal RNA (450 nucleotides) under uncultured bacterium. Its description in RNAcentral is "bacterial SSU rRNA". It matches the Rfam family "Bacterial small subunit ribosomal RNA", at positions 354 to 796 of the family's 1533-position model. The record is from RNAcentral.
GUGGGGAAUAUUGGACAAUGGGCGAAAGCCUGAUCCAGCCAUGCCGCGUGUGUGAAGAAGGUCUUCGGAUUGUAAAGCACUUUAAGUUGGGAGGAAGGGCAGUAAGUUAAUACCUUGCUGUUUUGACGUUACCGACAGAAUAAGCACCGGCUAACUUCGUGCCAGCAGCCGCGGUAAUACGAAGGGUGCAAGCGUUAAUCGGAAUUACUGGGCGUAAAGCGCGCGUAGGUGGUUUUGUAAGUUGGAGGUGAAAUCCCCGGGCUCAACCUGGGAACUGCCUCCAAAACUGCAUGACUAGAGUACGGUAGAGGGUAGUGGAAUUUCCUGUGUAGCGGUGAAAUGCGUAGAUAUAGGAAGGAACACCAGUGGCGAAGGCGACUACCUGGACUGAUACUGACACUGAGGUGCGAAAGCGUGGGGAGCAAACAGGAUUAGAUACCCGUGUAGUCC